CUGCAUGAGGGAUAGAAAUGGCAUCUCCCGAUUUAGAAAAACAAGGCUUUUUUUUUGCCGUAGUUUUUGUUAAUCGGGAAUACAAUGAACAGCCCUCUCGAUA
Molecule: small nuclear RNA, 103 nt
Filed under: Hucho hucho (huchen)
Lineage: Eukaryota; Metazoa; Chordata; Actinopteri; Salmoniformes; Salmonidae
Description: Flavo-1 RNA (ENSHHUG00000018402.1)
Source: RNAcentral